Molecule: ribosomal RNA, 119 nt
Organism: Sinocyclocheilus rhinocerous
Lineage: Eukaryota; Metazoa; Chordata; Actinopteri; Cypriniformes; Cyprinidae
Source: Ensembl
GCUUACGACCGUGCCACACUGUCUGCACCCGAUCUCGUCUGACCUCAGAAGCUAAGCAGUGUCGGGCCUGGUUAGUACUUGGAUGGAACACCGCCUGGGAAUACCAGGUGCAGUAAGCU